CAAAACUACCCCUUUCAUUAUAUACAUACUAAAUAACACACACCAAACAAACACCCAACACACCUCUUUGCAUCUCUCUCUCCGAGCCAAAUACAAACCUAGCCACCGACCGACGCACGAAGAGGCAAAAAGAAGCAACUGGACCGGGAAGAUCAAAGACUUUUCUCUCUCUCAUCGAAAUACACCUCUCGUUCUCUUUCUCACUAGAGUACUUGGAUGUUUACCUUGUAGCAGAUUGGACAAAUAGUCUUCGCCACAAAUGGAGAUGGAUUGGAGAUGUAUUCUGCUACUGAUUAUUGAAUAGAUCUCAGAUUCUAGUUCUGAAGUUUGAAAUGGCAUAUGACAGAUUGCAUGAUAUCAUUGUUCAUUUUGAAGGACACAUACAUGUAAUAGGGAAUGUUCAUCUAGACAAGUUCAGUUAUUUCAUGCUGUAUAAUAAUGUUAUUAUAUUGCUGAAAAAUGAUGUUCAGAAAGGUGCGGCAUUGAAUUUUUUCUUUAAAAUUUCUGGAACUGAUCAGAAAGGUGCGACAUUGACUUUAAGUUGGGAAUGUAUUGAUAUAUUUUGAGACUUUAAGUUAGAAUUAUUUAUGUAUUUUGAGCCUUAAAGUUGGGAAUGUAUUGAUAUAUUUUGAGAUUUUAAGUUGCUGUAACAAGUUUUCAAAAUUGGAUUAGACAUAACACAUAUUUUAGCUUA
This is a long non-coding RNA of Cornus florida, 694 nucleotides long. RefSeq lists it as uncharacterized. The record is from RefSeq and is a predicted model, not a curated record. NCBI's taxonomy places the organism in Eukaryota, Viridiplantae, Streptophyta, Magnoliopsida, Cornales, Cornaceae. The transcript is spliced from 2 exons.